Molecule: ribosomal RNA, 253 nt
Filed under: uncultured bacterium
Lineage: Bacteria
Description: partial 16S ribosomal RNA
Rfam family: Bacterial small subunit ribosomal RNA
Source: RNAcentral
UACGUAGGGUGCGAGCGUUAAUCGGAAUUACUGGGCGUAAAGCGUGCGCAGGCGGUUCGUUAAGUCAGCUGUGAAAGCCCCGGGCUCAACCUGGGAAUUGCGGUUGAAACUGGCGAACUAGAAUCUGGCAGAGGGGGGUGGAAUUCCACGUGUAGCAGUGAAAUGCGUAGAGAUGUGGAGGAACACCGAUGGCGAAGGCAGCCCCCUGGGUUAACACUGACGCUCAGGCACGAAAGCGUGGGGAGCAAACAGG